GGCCUCGUAGCUCAGCAGGUAGAGCGUGCGCUGUACAGACGCGUGGGGGCAUCCAUGAGUGGGUUCAAGUCCAACCGAGGUUA
RNAcentral lists this transfer RNA (83 nucleotides) under Echinostoma caproni. It matches the Rfam family "tRNA". From Rfam's summary of the family: Transfer RNA (tRNA) molecules are approximately 80 nucleotides in length. Lineage: Eukaryota; Metazoa; Platyhelminthes; Trematoda; Plagiorchiida; Echinostomatidae. The record is from Rfam by way of RNAcentral.